Molecule: unclassified non-coding RNA, 377 nt
Filed under: uncultured Pseudomonadota bacterium
Lineage: Bacteria; Pseudomonadati; Pseudomonadota
Description: uncultured proteobacterium contains 16S-23S intergenic spacer region
Source: RNAcentral
UCCGGCUUGCCACCGGCAGUUCCACUAGAGAGCCCAACUUAAUGCUGGCAACUAAAGAUAGGGGUUGCGCUCGUUGCGGGACUUAACCCAACAUGUCACCACACGAGCUGACGACAGCCAUGCAGCACCUGUGUGUAGGUCCCGUAAGGGAAGGAAUCCAUCUCUGGAAGCCGUCCUACCAUGUCAAACGCUGGUAAGGUUCUGCGCGUUGCUUCGAAUUAAACCACAUAAUCCACCGCUUGUGCGGGUCCCCGUCAAUUCCUUUGAGUUUUAACCUUGCGGCCGUACUCCCCAGGCGGUCAACUUCACGCGUUAGCUUCGUUACCAAGGAAUUGCUUCCCCGACAACCAGUUGACAUAGUUUAGGGCGUGGACUAC